GACGAACGCUGGCGGCGUGCUUAACACAUGCAAGUCGAACGGAAAGGCCCUGCUUGCAGGGUACUCGAGUGGCGAACGGGUGAGUAACACGUGGGUGAUCUGCCCUGCACUUCGGGAUAAGCCUGGGAAACUGGGUCUAAUACCGGAUAGGAGCCAUUUUUAGUGUGAUGGUUGGAAAGUUUUUUCGGUGUAGGAUGAGCUCGCGGCCUAUCAGCUUGUUGGUGGGGUAAUGGCCUACCAAGGCGGCGACGGGUAGCCGGCCUGCGAGGGUGGACGGCCACAUUGGGACUGGGAUACGGCCCAGACUCCUACGGGAGGCAGCAGUGGGGAAUAUUGCAAAAUGGGAGCAAGCCUGAUGCAGCGACGCCGCGUGGGGGAUGACGGCCUUCGGGUUGUAAACUCCUUUCGCUAGGGACGAAGCUUUUUGUGACGGUACCUAGAUAAGAAGCACCGGCUAACUACGUG
Molecule: ribosomal RNA, 465 nt
Filed under: uncultured bacterium
Lineage: Bacteria
Description: partial 16S ribosomal RNA
Rfam family: Bacterial small subunit ribosomal RNA
Source: RNAcentral